CUUCGGGGAGCGAGUACAGUGGCGAACGGGUGAGUAACGGGUGGAAAACCUGCCCUUCAAUGGGGGAUAACAGUUCUAACGAGCUGCUAAUACCGCAUACGACCUUUGGUCCGCAUGGUCCGAAGGUGAAGGGUGGCCUCUCUUUGAAGCUGCCGUUGAAGGAUGGUUCCGCCUCCCAUUAGCUUGUUGGUGGGGUAAUGGCCUACCAAGGCGACGAUGGGUAGCCGGCCUGAGAGGGUGUCCGGCCACACUGGGACUGAGAUACGGCCCAGACUCCUACGGGAGGCAGCAGUCGAGAAGCUUCGGCAAUGGGCGAAAGCCUGACCGAGCGAUGCCGCGUGAGUGAAGAAGGCCCUAUGGGUUGUAAAGCUCUGUCAGAUUGGGAAGAAAAUCCUACGGUUAAUACCCGUGGGACUUGACGGUACCAUCAGAGGAAGCACCGGCUAACUCCGUGCCAGCAGCCGCGGUAAUACGGAGGGUGCAAGCGUUGUUCGGAUUCACUGGGUAUAAAGGGUGCGCAGGCGGCCUGAUAAGUCAGGGGUGAAAUAUGACGGCUCAACCGUCAAACUGCCCCUGAAACUGUUAGGCUUGAGUCCGGGAGAGGAAGGUGGAAUUCCAGGUGUAGCGGUGAAAUGCGUAAAUAUCUGGAGGAACACC
RNAcentral lists this ribosomal RNA (657 nucleotides) under uncultured Latescibacterota bacterium. RNAcentral describes it as "bacterial SSU rRNA". It matches the Rfam family "Bacterial small subunit ribosomal RNA", at positions 77 to 710 of the family's 1533-position model. Lineage: Bacteria; Pseudomonadati; Candidatus Latescibacterota. The record is from RNAcentral.